UCCUUUCCUUCUUAUUUUUUCUCCACUUAGGCAAACUGUUAGUCUUCUUUGACUUUGCUAUUUUCCGAUGUAAUCCUUUGUGCAUGCACAUUGAUGUUGAUCGUGUGAGUCGGUGUUGAUUAUAUGCGAUUCUAACUAUGCAGAAGUCAGAUGUAUGCUCAAUUGUUCAUUGUGUUUGUAUUCGCUUAAUUCUUCAUCAUGAGUUAAUAAAAAUACAUUUUAUAAAUAGAAAAGAACCAAAGGAGGUGUAUUUCCCGCCACAGACAAAUUAAGCCC
RNAcentral lists this long non-coding RNA (276 nucleotides) under Hordeum vulgare. RNAcentral's name for it is "long non-coding RNA (HVUL_LNC008499)". Lineage: Eukaryota; Viridiplantae; Streptophyta; Magnoliopsida; Poales; Poaceae. The record is from RNAcentral.